RNAcentral lists this ribosomal RNA (248 nucleotides) under uncultured Eubacteriales bacterium. RNAcentral's name for it is "uncultured Clostridiales bacterium partial 16S ribosomal RNA". It matches the Rfam family "Bacterial small subunit ribosomal RNA", at positions 524 to 771 of the family's 1533-position model. The record is from RNAcentral. Lineage: Bacteria; Bacillati; Bacillota; Clostridia; Eubacteriales.
UACGUAGGGGGCGAGCGUUGUCCGGAAUGACUGGGCGUAAAGGGAGUGUAGGCGGCUUAGCAAGUUAGAUGUGAAAUGCCACGGCUUAACCGUGGAACUGCAUCUAAAACUGUUGGGCUGGAGUGCAGGAGAGGUGAGUGGAAUUCCUAGUGUAGCGGUGGAAUGCGUAGAUAUUAGGAGGAACACCAGAGGCGAAGGCGACUCACUGGACUGUAACUGACGCUGAGGCUCGAAAGCGUGGGGAGCAA